RNAcentral lists this long non-coding RNA (557 nucleotides) under Durio zibethinus. RNAcentral describes it as "long non-coding RNA (DZIB_LNC002184)". Lineage: Eukaryota; Viridiplantae; Streptophyta; Magnoliopsida; Malvales; Malvaceae. The record is from RNAcentral.
AAUUUAUUUCCAUAUUGUUAGAGAAGCUGUAGUUAUCUUCUUCAGAAACUAUGCUCCGAACCAUCAAGGCAUCAUGAGCAAGUUCAGGCUCCUUUUGAGGUGAUCUUGCAGGGCUAGGUGUCCAUCUUGGGACCUUAACUGCAGAAUCCAUGCUUAAAUUUAAUCCUGGAAAAAGUUGAUGGAUAUGAGAUGAGAUUGAGAUUAGAAGCUAUGGCGGAUUGGAUUUGGGUUAUCAAUGAUUAUAAAUGGAUGAAUAUGAUCAAUGACUAUAUCAUGAUCACUACCUGAGUCAGAAGGAGGGUUAGUGCUCCUUGUAAAGCCAGUGCUAAACGGGAAAUUUGUUUCCAUAUUGUUAGAAAAGCUGUAGUUAUCUUCUUCAGAAACUAUGCUUUGAACUUCUAAGGCAUCAUGAGCUGGUUCAGGCUCCUUUUGAGGUGAUCUUGCAGGGUUUGGUGUCCAUCUUGGGACAUUAACUGAAGAAUCCAUGCUUAAAUUUAAUCCUGGCAAAAAUUGAUGGUUAUGAGAAGAGAUGAGAUCAGAAGCUAUGAAGAACUCGG